UAAAAAGGUCUGGGAGUUUGAGGUAAAAAUGUAAAAUAUUAUAAUUUGAUAUUCGGGUUAUUUGAAUUAUUCGAGUUCAAAAACCAAACUCAAUUCGAACUCGAAAUUCAAAAAAAAAUUGAGUUGACUCGAAUAACUUGAUUAAUUUAAAUAACUUGAUUCGUUUAACUCGAAAUUUAAUUUUUUUCGAUUUUUUUGAGUCAAAUCGAAAUUUUCUCACCCUUAACUACAUCCGCUGCCAUGCCAACCUAGUUUGACCUCUACUGUGCCAAAAUAUCCACUCUCCACUUGAGAGCCUUCUUCUGUCCAGCUCGGUGUUAGCCUUUGGAUAAGAAUAAAAUGUUAAAGAUACUGACUACUUGGAAAUAGAGAAAAAAAGUUACAUCGAUUACAUUGGAUGUCCCCAAAGUUUUUUCAUAUGAUUAUGACCCUAAUAUUAUGUUUGGUAUAUAUAGGGCACCAUUUGCAGGUAUCCAAAAAACUUGAACUCUUGACCAUGUAAUGACCGUCACCUAGCCCCCCAGUUCCACUCGAACCCGUGGCCACAUCACGGCAUCCAGCUGGGACCUCCACCUAGACUUCGACCCUUGAUCAUAUCAAGCAUUAUUACCCCGAAACCUGAUUUUCCCACGAUGAGUUUUUGAGGUGAUGGUCCUAUCCUGCCAUGACAUAUGAAAUGUAUUUGUUCUGAAGCACGUUAUCACAUCCCGGACCCCUCUAAUCUACUUAUGAACUUUUUUGGUUUCAAUAAAAAAUUUUAAUUCAUAAAUCUAAAAACCAUAACCCUAAGAAAAUUAAAAACCUGAACCUAGGAGAGGAAAGAGAAAGGAAAAGUGCGUUUAGCUGGACACGCUUUCCUGCCAACUAUACAGAAAAUGCACCCACUUUUCAUUUCUUUCUUCUAAAACCAACCUAUUUCCUUAAUUAAAAAAAAGUCCUAAAGGCUUAAUUAAAAAAAACCUUGUAAUCCCCAAUUGGUGCCCGGGGCCCAAACUUAAUACAAACCCAAAUACAACACUCAGCCCAAAUACUUUUAAACCCAAAAAAUGGCCCAAAACACAAUAAUCCACACUGGCCCAAUACCUAGCCCUAACAAUUCUCAACAGCAGAAACCUUAGGUAGUUUUCGUGCUUCAGUGCCGCAGCAACCGCUUCCACGCCCCACGUUCAUCACUCGCGCAUGUCCUCCACGACCUUUACACCUACGGAAAAACUAAUCCAAACGACAGUAGAUGUGGCAAAUAACGGGAUAGAUAGUUUUUAUGAUUAUUUUGGUACAUCUCGGCUAUAAAGAGACUGAUUUAAAUCUAUAAAAUGUGGGGGUUUAGAAAUUUUUUGGUACUGAAAUCAAAAAGAAAAUAUACAGAAAAAUAGUUUUGAAGGUAGAAUUUUGUUUUAUUUUUCUCUGUUCUUUUACUGCCUUUUUUAAGUUAUUUUGGUUCUUUUCUUUUUAUUUCUUAAAAACAAAACACGAAAAGGGUGAGGGGGAGGAGGACUUACCGUCAAGAGAUUCGUUGGGCGCUCUCGUUAGCCGUUAUCUGGUCGGAAAAGGGAGGAGAUUGGAACGGCAGAGGAGGGGUUUUGAGAGGAGUUGCGGCGCACCACAAAAGUGGCAGAGAAAGGGAAUGACUUUAGGGUUUUUAAAAUGGGAUUUUAUUAGGGUUCAAAAGGGGCCAUUUGCGCUAUUGGUCCUUUGCUUUUUGGGGUUGUUUAAAUUAAAUUUAUUAUUUCCUUUAAAUUUUACUGCAUGUUUUAUAAUUGUUUUAAAUUGGUCCUAUGCUGCGCAACAUUGUAGGUUUGGGUAAAUUUCUCGUUCAGUCCUCCCCCUGUUGUGCGUGUUUUAAUUUACUCCCUUUCAUGUUAUUUUGUAAUUAGUUUUUUAAAUUCUGUUUUUUUUAAUUUAAUCCUUAAUUUAUUAUUUUUAGUUUUUAUUAUAUUGUCAAUAUGGUUCAUUUACGUUAUUAUUACUGUAUGGUUAUUAGUUCAUUAUUAUAUGUUAUAUUAUUAUUAUAUUUGUUUAUAUGCGCAUAUGCCUCUUAAUAUACAUAUAUAUACCUUUUUAAAACGUUUUAAAUAUAUACUAUAUACAUAUCAUAUAUUUUAUUAUUAUUUUAUUUUUCUUAGCUUUAUAUUCAUAUGUAUGCGUAUAUAUUUUUAUAAUAUUUAUAUUUUUUAUAUCUUAUGAUCCAAAAAUAAAUAUUUUUUAUAAUAUGUAUACACAUAUACUUACGUUAUUCCAUAUUUUUAUAAAUAUAUCCGUUAAAUUAUAUAUAUAUAUAAACAUACAUAUGUCAAUACUUUUUAUAAUUACUAAAUAUUAUGCUUAUAUUUUAGUUUUUAUAAACUUUAUAUAUAUAUUUAUUAUGUUUAUUAUUUUUGUAUACAUGAAUAUAUAUGCAUCAAUAUUUUGUCAUACUUUAAAAAAUAAAUAUUUUGAUUUUAUCAAAACAUUAAAAUUAUUUUUAUGAUUCAAAGGUUUUCAAAAUAAAAAACGAUAUUCAAAGUUAGGGAUUCUCGAGGAAAAUUGAGCCCUAACGCAUUGAGUUCCGAUUUUCUUUGUUAAUUCUAAAUAACCGAGAAUAUGAGUUAUUUAAAAUAUAUAAAUAAAAAUCAUUUUCGGGAAUUCAAUAUGUUAUGUCCUAACGCAUUGGGCAUGACAUAUUGCUUUCUCGAAAUGAAGAUUUUCUUUAAUUUUUUUUUUAAAAGGUGAUAUUCAAAAUUCGGGGAUUUUGAGAAAAUUUAUCCUAACGUAUUGGGUUUCAAUUUCUUCGCAUGACUUGAAUACUUGAUUAUCCUUUUCGGAUUUCAAUAUUUGAGUUUAACAAAAUCUUUUUAAUUUUCGAUACCAAGACAUUAAAUAAUCAAUUUGGUACCGAUUUUUGGGCGUUACGAGGGUGCUAACCCUUCCUCGUGCGUAACUGACUCCCGAACCCAUUUUCUCAAAUUUCGUAGACCAAAUUUGUUUUUAAGGUGAGCCGGUCACACCUAAAUCAUGGAUCGGUGGCGACUCCAAUUUUUUUUUUCGAUAACCAAAUUUUUGUUUAAAAAUGGUUUCGACAGCUUGGCGACUCCGCUAGGGACUGGUUAGAGAGUCGAGCCGUAAAUUGAUUAAUUUUUGUCUUUUGGUCGAAAAGUCAAAUUUUGUUUUAAAAUUCAUGAUUUCCCCUUUGCAUUCAUGGGUUCUUAUUAUGAUAUGUUUGUUUAAUUGGUCUAAGUUUGUUAGUGUGUUUGCAUUUUGCAUUACAUGGACGAUUUUACCCCUCUAAGUGGGAGUGAGAAGCUACUCCUUCGUGAGGUGUUCACCUCCGUGCAGGAUAGUGGAUCGCUUUCGGGAUACAUCUGUACCUAUGUCUUCAUGAGAUUUUCAUCUCUGUGUAGCCAUAGGGAAAUGUAUUCCCCUGAACUGAACUCGGUCUAUAUGAGCCUAUAAUGGGUGAGGAUCGAGGAAUCUGCUGGUUCGGGUACCCUUGCUCUAGAAGCUAAACCUCAUAUAGUGAACUUUAGGAACUUACCAUAGGUAGAAUUAUACCAAACCCUAGUAGUUACCCAAGUAGGUAUUUCAUUAUUUUCUGUUUGUUUUUAUACCUGAUACUGACUUGUUGUGUUUUGUUUUGACUGCAUGACAUUUUGAUUGCAUUGCAUUUUCAUCUUAGAAAAGAAAUGUUGAUUCAAGUUCGAUUACUGACUUAGAAAGCUUGUCAUGGAAUACGGAUUUCUUGAUAAAAUGGAAGAUAAUACAGUUGCCCGAAUAUAUCUUGAGAAACACGAUAAGGGCGAUGGAAGAGUUCAUGACUUUGUGGCCCGAGGAUUCAAGAUGAUUAUUCGAGAGCUGUCGACAUUCCAAAUUCCUUAAAGAAGCUAAUAAGCCUUACGAGGAUGGGCAGACGAUGGAUUGCAACCAAUAUCAAGUAAAAAGGAGCUAGUAGUGCUGUUCAUUGGAAAUUUGCGAGAUUUAUCUUAAACAUCCAGAUGAAGUAAGAGGUCGAUGUUUCUUGGAGUAUGAGGGCGAGGCCGUACAUGCAUCCGUUUUGUGUAAAGAAGUUUGUCUUCUAGUGAAGUUUUCUAAAUAGAAUUGAAUCAGAAUCAACGUCUCUUUAUGCAUUCAUUUCAUGCAUUCGCAUUACAUGACAUCAUAUGCAUUAAAAUCCAUUAAAAAGGCCUAAUUGGGUAAAAUUGUUUCAAUCAAUUUGGAAAAUCGACACCCUUAUGGCACCCAAGUAAAGACUAGAGAAAUGGACCAAAGGUUGGAGAAAUUAGAGCGAAUGUAAAUACAGAUGCAAGAGCAACUAACUGAAUUUCAACAGGAAAUGAGAGAUAUGAUAAUGGAAUUACAGAGAGCUAUUACGAAUCAGUUAACCCGGUUGCUAGCUGGAGAGUUAGAGAAGGGAAAGACUCAGUGGUUCAUUAUGUGGUUGAUAAUGAGGAUCUUGCCUAUUCCCUAGGUUGUACUCCAAUAAAUGUCCAGGUCCAGCCAGAUGGGCGUCCACAAGAGGCACUCUUUACUAUUAGAUCCCAACAAUAUCAAACUGGCACAUCGACACCAGUAAGUUGCUUGACAGGCUUAGGAUCCAAUUUGAGGAACAAUUUAGCUAAUCCUAUUGCUAUUGAUAGCCCAGCAGAAGUAAAGUAGGCAAGGGAAGGGUACCCAAAUACUACAAAGGCCCUAAAAAAGAAGGGGAAUAAGAGGGAUAAUGCAGAUAGAUAUAACAAGGGUCACUCAAAACUAAUCACUGUGGGCCGGCCAAGGAUAGAAACUACUAGCCAUCCGAGCCCUUUAAAGCAAGAAUCUUGCACGAAGACAAAUACAGAAAGGCCUCAGUUCACGCCUAUACCGAUGUCAUAUAGCGAGCUAUAUGAGAGCCUAUUUAAUGCAUACGUCGUUGCCCCUUUCUACUUAAAGCCUUUGCAACCUCCGUAUCCUAAAUGGUAUGAUGCAAAUGCUCAGUGUGAAUACCAUGCGAGAAUUGCGGGGCUUUCGAUAGAAAAUUGCACUACUUUCAAGAAACUAGUUGAGAGGUUCAUCAAUAGGGGUAUUGUCAAGUUUGAUGACUCAUCUAAUCUGCUACCCAAUCAUGUUAAUAAUGGGGUAAGAGUGAGAGCAAGAAGGGGAUUAGUUAUUUCUGAUUCAAGAGGUAACCAUAGAAAUGCAUUGAACCAUCGUGAGUUCCAUCACGAGAAGAGAUACGAUACCCAAGAGAGUGUGGAACUCAAGACCUUGGUUUCGGGCAUGAUUGAUGACAAAGAGAUAGAGUUUUGUGAGGAAAUUAAAGAGGAGAGAAAUAUACACACAAUGUUGAGAAGUGUUCACAUCAAUGCCAUAUAUGAAGACACUUGAAAAGGGACCUUGUUAGAUAUCCACUCUUAUAAAUUUGGGAGUGUUCUAAAAAUCAGAUUGUAGAGGAAAUUUCUGUAGUUUUAGAACUUACUUAGAGUAAUGUUCAAAACACACUUGUUGCUUUUAGCCUAGAGGCAAUAAGAAUUCCAUUGUGAAAUAGGCUCAUGUUUGAACGUCAUUAUUCUAUGAAUACAUCUUUGCAUUCAUUUUUGAGCCAAUAUUCUUUCAUUCUUUUCGAAUAAUUCUAGAUUCUUUCAUUCUUUUAGAUUUUUUCCAAAUCAUUCAUUCAUUUAAUUCAUAAUCAUAUUGUACAGAUAACUAUUCAUAAAUUUAACAUUCUUUUGUAUAUUCUUUGGUAUUUAUUAUGGGCCCCCAAAUAUCAAUGACUUGAAUGACACUGCUACAGAUUUAGAAUCUCCUUUUGAGCAAGACAUGUGUUUAGAGGGAUCUCAUGACUUUGAAGAUGACAUAGAUCGUAGCCUAUCUCCAGACUUGUUGAGGAUGGUAGAGCAAGAAGAGAACAAAUUUUACCUCUUGAAGAGACACUGGAGAUUGUGACCUCGAGGGAACAUGUAUAACCGGAGAAACGAAGCAAGACCUUGUUAAGUUACUUCAAGAGUUCAAAGAUGUCUUCGUAUGGUUAUACCAGGAUAUGCCUAGGUUAAGCACUGAUAUUGUAAUCUGACCAAUAGCACAACGUUAAAAAUUUGCAGUAUGUUCAAGAUUCACAUCAUGAACGAUACAGUUAGAAUUCUUUACCGAGGUAAUACCUUCUUCUCUGACUUAUCCCGUUGAAGUCAAGUUGUCAUUUUUUCGUAUUUUUGUUGGAUUUCAUCCUAAUUGAAGAGAAAGAUCCAAAGUUUUUUCAUCUUAGUUAAAUUUCGCCCUAAAAGGCUCUACGAGAGAAACCUAACACCAAAGAAGAUCUUUCGCAUACAAAAUGAAAGUGGAAGAUCUUAUGGGGAAGACCUUAUCUAGAAUAAUAUUGAUUCUGAUCAAAAGGGAUGACCAGGAUUUGCCUAGUCCCAUGGAUGCAGAUUCAAUGCAAAAAAAACAAAAAAAACAAAAACAAAAGCAAAAACAAAAACAAAAAAAAAGAGGGAAAAAGGAAAAAAAAAUAAGAAAAAAAAACAAAAACAAAAAGAAACAAAAAAAACCUCCACCGGGGCAAUGCCUUUCUCUUUAGCUUAUCAUGGUUUUUCCAUUGAAGUUGAAAUUCUUUUUCUCUGGGUAUUGGCUGAGUUGAAGUAGGAUGAAGAUCCAAUCUCGAUAUGAUCAGUUGAACUUAAUUGAAGGAAAAAGGCUAAAAGUUAUUCGUCACGGUCAGAUGUACCAAAAACGGAUAAUGCGAGCUUACAACAAAAAGGUUCGUCUCAGAGAAUUCCACGACAGAGAUUUGGUAUUGAAAAGAUCCUUCAUCUACAAAAAGAUUUUUUAGAGAAAUGAGUGCCAAAUUGGGAAUGUCCUUAUGUUGUAAAGAAUACCUUUUCUGGAGGAGCACUGAUUUUGAGUGAGAUGGAUAGUAAAAACUUGUCUAAUCCUAUAAACUCAGAAUCAGUCAAGAAAUACUUCGCUUAAAGAAGGAGAGGACCAAGGUAAAAAUCCGCAAAGGGCACUUUGAGUCGCAAAAAAAAAGAGAAGAAAAAAUAUGUGAAAAAACAAAAAUGGAAAAAUGAAAAAUUAAAAAUAGAAAAAGUAAAAAUGGAGAGGCUAAGGUGAAAACUCGCAAAGGGCGCCUUAGACCAAAAGGGAUUUGAGUUGAAAACCCGAAAAGGGUGGCUCAAAUUUUGAUCAGAAUAGGGCUGGAAAUGAUUAGAGUGGCUCAGAUUUUGAUUGGAAUGGGGCGUGUGGUGGUCUUGAUAUACCUGAAUCAACAGGAAAAGGUAUGCGACAUCUUGGGGCAUCGACAAAGUAUUGUAGAUAUCCUAAACACAUGUCAAACUCAGAAUGGUCUUUAGGAAGUUUGUACAGAGAAGUUCAAGCUGCGUUAUCUGGGGCACCUAGUCUUCAUACUAUUUAUAUUGAAUUGCUUAUUCUUGGAAUACUUCAUUCUUUUCAAGAUAUGAGUCAAUUCCUCUUUUAUUCUCAAUAUUAUUGAUAUAUUCAUUUCAAGCUAUGCUCUCAAAUCAAUUAUAUUUUAUCCAUUGUUUUAUUCUUUUGGCAAGCGUGUUGUAUUAGAAUAAUGAUUAAUGGACUAAUAAAACUUUCACAAAGGAAGUUUUACAUAUUACUCUAGAAGUUUCUAAAUAAUACAGGAACCUGAAACAAGUCUAUUGUUUAGAAUACACCUAGUUUAAAGGUGGGAAAUCUAAGAAGGAAGAGUCUAAAUUAAGACUAUCUCUUUGGAUUUUGUUGUCAAAGGAAUUAAUUGAACAAAAUGACAAGAUGUCGUGUUGGUGAUAAAGCUUCAUUGAGCAAAUAAGCAAUGAUGAUCAGGCAAUAGAAAGAGGUUACCUCGAAGAAGAGAGCCUUCAUUUUUGCAUGAGUCUUUGGUAUGACACCUUGGGAACGGUGUAAAGAACUAGAACAAUUUAGGUCUUGUAUCCUUGAAUUGUGAUAAGGAAGGAUUGAGGAAAAGCCACAUAUUUUUACCAUUGGGUUACGGUGGAAAAACGAUAGUACAAUUUUUACAUCCCAGUGGAUUAAACUUUGAGGUUUACAGUGGGGGAAACCUGAUUAAAUGUUUCUUCUGAAAAGCCAGCUAAGCAAGAAGGCGUUGUAGCACGUCAGAGAUAAAGCCUUAAUAAACUUUGAGCAAUGAUAACCUAAGAAGGAUCAUUCUUGAAAAAAAAUAGAAUAAAAUUUUGCAUUCAUGCAAACACCAUUCACACCUGUCUAGUUAGGAGCAUUGGAUUCAUUUUGAUCAUGCCAUUAGGCAUAAUUAGGUUCAUUAUACAGGUUAUGUUUUAUAGAGAACAGAUCAGGGGAAAUGGCAGAUCUUGCCUUCCUGCAUAGACAGCGAAGCAGAUCAAAGAUGGCAGAUUUUACCUUCCUGUGGUUACAGUGGAGUACAUUGAAGCCAGUAAUUCUACUUCCCUGGGCAGCAGUGGAAUAGAUUGAAGAUUUCAGAUCUUGUCUCCCUAAGCAGUAGUGGAGUAGAUCAAAGAUGACAGAUUUUACCUCCCUGUGGUUACAGUGGAGUACAUUGAAGCCAAUAAUUCUACUUCCUUGGGCAGCAGUGGAAUAGAGUGAAGAUUACAUAUCUUAUCUCCCUAAGAAGUAGCAGAGUAGAUCGAAUACACUAACCUUGCCUCCCUUGGUGGCAGCGGAGCAGGUUAAAAAAAAUUUACAGAUCUUAUCUCCCUAGGCAGUAGCGGAGUAGAUCGAAGACACUAACCUUGCCUCCCUCGGUGGCAGCGGAGCAGGUUAAAGAUAGCAAAUCUUACCUUCCUAUACUGACAGUGAAGCAGAUCGAAGACGCUAACCUUGCCUCCCUCGGUGGCAGCGGAGCAGGUUAAAAAAAUUACAGAUCUUAUCUCCCUAAGCAGUAGUGGAGUAGAUCGCAACCAGCCUUGUCUCCCUGGCAAUAGUGGAGUAGGUUGAAAAUAGCAGAUCUUGCCUUCCUGUACUGACAGAGAAGCAAAUCGAAGAUACUAACCUUGCCUCCCUCGGUGGCAACGGAACAGGUUAAAGAUAGCAGAUCUUGCCUUCCUGUACUGGCAGUGAAGCAGAUCGAAGACACCAGUCUUAUCGCCUUGACGAUUGAAGCCACAAUGGCAAAUCUUAUUUCCUUGGCGUUGUAGCGGAGUAGAUUGAAGCCACGAAGGCGUAUAUUAUCUCCCUGGCGUUAAGGCUUGGUUUAGCUGAAGUGGAGCGGAUUGAAGUUGUGGGAGGCGAAUCCUAUCUCUUUGGCAUUACAGUGGAACGGAUUGAAGCCACAACGGCAGGUCUUAUCUCCCUGAGGUUGCAGUGGAGCGGAUUAAAACCACAGAUCUUACUCUCUGAAGUUGUAGAGAGCAGAUCGCAUCAGACUUAUCUUUAAAGUUUUAGCAAAAUAAGUUGAAGUUACAAGUCUUAACUCCCUGAAGUUGCAGUGAGGCAGACUAAAGAUAACAGAUUUUGUUCUUUUUAGAAGCUACAAGGUACAAAUCUUAUCUCCCUGAUGUUGCACUGGAGUGGAUCAAAGUACCAAUUCUUAUACCUCUGAAGAUGCAAUUGGUUAGAACGAGGUUACUUGAAGAAGAGAAGCACUGAAGAAGUUGAGGCUCGGUAAGACCGGGCACAAUUGGGCUUUUUAGUCUUUGCUCUGUUCCCAUUACAUGACAACGAGCAAAGAGGGGCAGCUAUAAUACCCAAUUGGUGCUCGGGGCCCAAACUUAAUACAAACCCAAAUACAACACUCAGCCCAAAUACUUUUAAAUCCAAAAAAUGGCCCAAAACACAAUAAUCCACACUGGCCCAAUACCUAGCCCUAACAAUUCUCAACAGUAGAAACCCUAGGUAGUUUUCGUGCUUCAGUGCCGCAG
This 9800-nucleotide long non-coding RNA is filed under the name Gossypium barbadense (sea-island cotton). Its description in RNAcentral is "long non-coding RNA (GBAR_LNC013363)". Lineage: Eukaryota; Viridiplantae; Streptophyta; Magnoliopsida; Malvales; Malvaceae. The record is from RNAcentral.